UACGAAGGGGGCUAGCGUUGCUCGGAAUCACUGGGCGUAAAGCGCACGUAGGCGGCUUUCUAAGUCAGGGGUGAAAUCCUGGAGCUCAACUCCAGAACUGCCUUUGAUACUGGAAAGCUUGAGUUCGGGAGAGGUGAGUGGAACUGCGAGUGUAGAGGUGAAAUUCGUAGAUAUCAGGAAGAACACCCGUGGCGAAAGCGGCUCUCUGGAACGGUACUGACGCUGAGACGCGAAAGCGUGGGGAGCGAACAGG
RNAcentral lists this ribosomal RNA (253 nucleotides) under uncultured bacterium. RNAcentral describes it as "partial 16S ribosomal RNA". It matches the Rfam family "Bacterial small subunit ribosomal RNA", at positions 524 to 776 of the family's 1533-position model. The record is from RNAcentral.